This 76-nucleotide transfer RNA is filed under the name Nitrososphaerota archaeon. Its description in RNAcentral is "tRNA-Arg". It matches the Rfam family "tRNA". From Rfam's summary of the family: Transfer RNA (tRNA) molecules are approximately 80 nucleotides in length. Lineage: Archaea; Thermoproteati; Nitrososphaerota. The record is from RNAcentral.
GGGCCCGUGGCCAAGUAUGGAUCAAGGCGUCAGCCUGCGGAGCUGAAGACCGUGGGUUCAAAUCCCACCGGGCCCG